RNAcentral lists this ribosomal RNA (771 nucleotides) under Escherichia coli. RNAcentral's name for it is "partial 23S ribosomal RNA". It matches the Rfam family "Bacterial large subunit ribosomal RNA", at positions 362 to 1136 of the family's 2925-position model. The record is from RNAcentral. Lineage: Bacteria; Pseudomonadati; Pseudomonadota; Gammaproteobacteria; Enterobacterales; Enterobacteriaceae.
GGGUGACAGCCCCGUACACAAAAAUGCACAUGCUGUGAGCUCGAUGAGUAGGGCGGGACACGUGGUAUCCUGUCUGAAUAUGGGGGGACCAUCCUCCAAGGCUAAAUACUCCUGACUGACCGAUAGUGAACCAGUACCGUGAGGGAAAGGCGAAAAGAACCCCGGCGAGGGGAGUGAAAAAGAACCUGAAACCGUGUACGUACAAGCAGUGGGAGCACGCUUAGGCGUGUGACUGCGUACCUUUUGUAUAAUGGGUCAGCGACUUAUAUUCUGUAGCAAGGUUAACCGAAUAGGGGAGCCGAAGGGAAACCGAGUCUUAACUGGGCGUUAAGUUGCAGGGUAUAGACCCGAAACCCGGUGAUCUAGCCAUGGGCAGGUUGAAGGUUGGGUAACACUAACUGGAGGACCGAACCGACUAAUGUUGAAAAAUUAGCGGAUGACUUGUGGCUGGGGGUGAAAGGCCAAUCAAACCGGGAGAUAGCUGGUUCUCCCCGAAAGCUAUUUAGGUAGCGCCUCGUGAAUUCAUCUCCGGGGGUAGAGCACUGUUUCGGCAAGGGGGUCAUCCCGACUUACCAACCCGAUGCAAACUGCGAAUACCGGAGAAUGUUAUCACGGGAGACACACGGCGGGUGCUAACGUCCGUCGUGAAGAGGGAAACAACCCAGACCGCCAGCUAAGGUCCCAAAGUCAUGGUUAAGUGGGAAACGAUGUGGGAAGGCCCAGACAGCCAGGAUGUUGGCUUAGAAGCAGCCAUCAUUUAAAGAAAGCGUA